Cervus elaphus (red deer) is the source of this 3109-nucleotide long non-coding RNA. RefSeq lists it as uncharacterized. The transcript has 6 exons. NCBI's taxonomy places the organism in Eukaryota, Metazoa, Chordata, Mammalia, Artiodactyla, Cervidae. The record is from RefSeq and is a predicted model, not a curated record.
CCCACCUCCUCCUUGUGUAGGCAUCUUCCGCGUGUUCAGUCCAGCACCCACCUGGGCUUCCGGUGCCGCCGCCUGGCUGGCGGGAGAGGUCACCAUCAUGCAGCCGGCUCUAUUCUUAUAGCCGGGAACCAGGAGCCAUGUGUCAGCUGGGUGCCUUGGAGCCAGAGGAUCCUGGGCUGGGAUCCGUAACCCACAUCCACCCAGUGACUCGGGGACACAGUGACUGCUGGGUUCCUUGCUCCCCUCUCCUCAGGGGGGGUGACAUGUCAUCGUCCUUCGUAGGAUCGGUGUUGAGGAUCCCAGAACACUUGUGUGUGUGUGGCUAGCCAGCAUCGUGCCCGGCACACAGCUGAUGCCCAGCCCGCAGUGGGAGUGUUCCUCGUGGUUGGAAAGAGAAUCUUGUUACACCUGGGAUUUUGGUGCCUUUAAUCUGAGAAAGAGUACAUAUUCACUCAAUAAUCCAAAAGGACUUGAAAACUGCUCUUCUCUAAACUAAAGCUGGAAUAUCAUUGGAUUUAAAGAAUCAAGGCUGAGCAGUGAUUUCGGAAGAGUUCUGAGGUCCCGUGGAAGGUCUGCCUCUCUCCAGCCUUGGGUUCUCUGCCUUCUUGAGCACCUCAGGGUCCAGAAGAAAAAGAAGAAAGCCUACCAGUUCUAGGAGCAGUUUGGAUGAAGAGAGUUCCAGGCCCUGGUAGCGGUGGUUUCGGUCUUCAAGCCUUGCACUCCAUAUGUUGGAAAUGUUCUCUUCCCGCAAAUCACGAAAGCGGAUGUAGACCCAGGCCGUGUGAGUGUCUAUUUCCAGGUGUGUGUGAUGACACGGGGACAUUUGUGAUGACACGGCUCUGGACCCCGGAGUGGCCCAGACAGGCUGAUGGAGAAUGCCUUGGUUUCAGGAGGGCCUGGGAUCUGCCCCGAUUUCCCCCCUGCAGACAGGAAGCAGGAAGACUGGACGGCAAUCCAGGACAGGAUCCGGAAACGGUUUCCACCGCAGGUGAUCCUCUGGGGAACCCACUCCUCCCCAUGAAAGGGCACUUUGUCUUGACUCAGGUCACUGAGUGCAGAAUCACACACCUGAGAGGAGGCUGAGGGCAUUGUUUCUCGAAUGUGAGCCAUGCAUAAACUUCCAGGAUUCCUUGUUAAAUGCAGGUGCUAUGCACUUAAGCCAAGUGGAGCUGAUAUUCUGCACCAGUGAUGAACUCCCAGGUAAUAGUGAUGCUGCUGGACCACGGCUGACCCAUUCUAAGUAGCAAGGAAACACCGGAUGCUCCUUCCCACCUUUCUCCACACUGCACACUCCCCGUCUAUGGAGCGCUAGGUCACCUACUCACGGAUUCCGGCUCCAUCACCCAUCAGCAGUUAAAUUUUUUAGAUGAGAAAACUGCUCCUCAGAGAUGUUAAACAACUUGGCAGAGGUCACACAGCUAGUAAGUGACAAAGACACUUGAGGGUGAAGGUCGUUCCCAGUCACUGCAGUCCCUCAUGAGCCCGUAGAUAUGAAUGUGGUCCUCCUAGAAUGGGACAGUCUGUACUUAAUGAACAGGUUUGGAUGGUGACUGUCAGUUUCUUUUCUCUCCCCUUCUUUAUCUCCGAGAUUUUGAUUCUGGCUUCUUCUUUCCAGGAGACUAGGAGACACUUCACAUGGUGGGUGGUCCCCACAGCAACACUGACCCAGAGAGAAGUGAAUCCUUUUGCCUGGUGACUAGAAGACAUAUGAAACUGGAAAAAGGAACCUAGAAUAUUACAUUUAACUCACAUAGGAGAACACACCUUCCCUUUCAUCCUCUCUUCCAAAGCACCUAAUAGCCUUUAGUGGUCAUACGGUCAUUGCUGUGCAUGCGUGCUUAGUCGCUCAGUCGUGUCUGACUCUUUGUGACCCCAUGGACUGUAGCCCACCAAGCUCAGUCCAUGGGAUUCUCCAGGCAAGAAUACUGGAGUAGGUUGCCAUUUCCUUCUCCAGGGGAUCUUCCCGACCCAGGGAUUGAACCCCUGUCUCCUGCAUUGGCAGAUGUAUUCUUUAUCAUCUGAACCACUUGGGAAGCCCAUGGUCACUGCUGAACUAUCCUCAUUUAAUGUGGUUUUGACAGAAUAGUUGGUCUGGUUUUCUUUCCAAUUAAACUUCCUUGUUGAACUGCCUUGGUUUUGAAAGGAUUCCAUAAGGAUGGCUAAUUAUAUAGCAGUUGCUACAGGAGAUGUUUGCACUCAAUUUCAGCUCUUAGGUGAUUCAGAUCAAAUGCUUUCUCCUUUCCUCCCUGGAGCUAUGUGCAACCAUCUUCCUCUCACACAGCAGGCUUCUCAUGAGUUAUUUUUGGAGGUUCAAAUCAAAACAGCAAUUCUGGCAAAUGGGAGAGCGAAGCGAUGCUUUAGUCGAGCAGAGUAGACCAUAUGUACUGAUAAAGACAGCCAAAGACUCAGUGCCUUUAAAAGGCUUCUGAGCCAUCUUCCUCCGUGAAGGUUAAAUUUGGCGGUAACUGCAAACUGUCCUUGGUGCUGUCAUAUUCCUUUGUGAAUUCAGUUGAGGGACUUCCCCAGUGACCCAAUGAUUAAGACUCUGCCUUCCAGUGCAGAGGAUGAAGGUUCCGUCCCUGGUUAGGCACUCAGAUCCUGCAUCCCAUGGGGUGUGGCCAAGAAGUGAAAAAGACAGCUGAGAUUCCUUUACCGUUAUCAAAACUUUGUCCAUUUGCAAUGUGUUGUCCUGAUUGUUUAGCUCUAAGAUGGCGGGUCUUGGCAAAAUUUACUUGAGGACUUUGCUUCAGCUGCUGGAUCUGCCUUGAAACAUGGAAAUCACUUUAUUUCCCCACUCUGCUCUGUUUCCUUCUUUCACCAGAGCACAAAGAGCAUCCCUGAAUAUGUACACCAAGCAGGCAGACCUCCCCCUUCACCUGCUACAGUGUAAGCGCCUCGUGGGCAGGGGCUGUGUUUUUCAUUUUGUUCUGUUCCUGGCACAGGGUUACCGUUCAGAGAAUUGAGUGAACAGAUGACGUGCUGAUUCGCUUCAGUCAUGUCCGACUCUUUUUGACCCUAUGGACUGUAGACUGCCAGGCUCCUCUGUCCAUGGCAUUCUCCAGGCAAGAAUACUGGAGUGGGUUGCCAUGCCCUCCUCCAGGGGAUCUUC